This is a long non-coding RNA of Epinephelus fuscoguttatus (brown-marbled grouper), 1634 nucleotides long. RefSeq lists it as uncharacterized. The transcript has 3 exons. The record is from RefSeq and is a predicted model, not a curated record. Lineage: Eukaryota; Metazoa; Chordata; Actinopteri; Perciformes; Serranidae.
UGCUAACUCCCACAUUGGUUUGCAGAGGGAAUGCUAACGAUGCUAACUUGCAGUUAGGGUUCUUUAGGCAAUGUGAGACCACAGUGAGGUGGAGGUCACAGUGAGAGACAGUUCACAUUAAGAUGGAGGUCACAGUAGAUAGAGGUCACAGUGAGAGACAGGUCACAGUAGAUGGAGGUCACAGUGAGAUACAGGUCACAGUGAGAUGGAGGUCACAGGAAGAUGCAGGUCACAGUGAGAUGGAGAUCACAUUGAGAUGGAGGUCACAGUACGAUGGAGGUUACAGUGAAAUGGAGGUCACAGUAAGAUGGAGGUUACAGUGAGAUGCAGGUCAGAGUGAGAUGGAGGUCACAGGAAGAUGCAGGUCACAGUGUGAUGCAGGUCACAGUGAGAUGGAAGUCACAGUGAGAUGGAGGCCACAGUGAGAUGGAGGCCACAGGAGGAUGCAGGUCAGAGUGAGACGGUGGUUACAGUGAGAUGGAGGUCACAGUAAGAUGGAGGUCACAGUAAGAUGGAGGUUACAGUGAGAUGCAGGUCAGAGUGAGAUGGAGGUCAUAGGAAGAUGCAGGUCACAGUGUGAUGCACGUCACAGUGAGAUGGAGGUCACAGUGAGAUGCAGUUCACAGUAAGAUGGAGGUCACAGUGAGAUGCAGGUCAUAGUGAGAUGCAGUUCACAGUAAGAUGGAGGUCACAGUGAGAUGCAGGUCAUAGUGAGAUGCAGUUCACAGUGAGAUGCAGGUCACAGUGAGAUGCAGUUCACAGUAAGAUGCAGGUCAUAGUGAGAUGGAGGCCACAGGAAGAUGCAGUUCACAGUGAGAUGGAGGUCACAGUGAGAUGCAGGUCAUAGUGAGAUGCAGUUCACAGUAAGAUGGAGGUCACAGUGAGAUGCAGGUCACAGUGAGAUGCAGUUCACAGUGAGAUGCAGUUCACAGUGAGAUGCAGGUCAUAGUGAGAUGCAGGUCAUAGUGAGAUGCAGUUCACAGUGAGAUGCAGUUCACAGUGAGAUGGAGGCCACAGGAAGAUGGAGGCCACAGGAAGAUGCAGGUCAGAGUGAGACGGUGGUUACAGUAAGAUGGAGGUCACAGUAAGAUGGAGGUUACAGUGAGAUGCAGGUCAGAGUGAGAUGGAGGUCAUAGGAAGAUGCAGGUCACAGUGUGAUGCAGGUCACAGUGAGAUGGAGGUCACAGUGAGAUGCAGUUCACAGUAAGAUGGAGGUCACAGUGAGAUGCAGGUCAUAGUGAGAUGCAGUUCACAGUAAGAUGGAGGUCACAGUGAGAUGCAGGUCAUAGUGAGAUGCAGUUCACAGUGAGAUGGAGACCACAGGAAGAUGCAGUUCACAGUAAGAUGGAGGUCACAGUGAGAUGCAGGUCAUAGUGAGAUGCAGUUCACAGUAAGAUGCAGGUCAUAGUGAGAUGCAGGUCAUAGUGAGAUGCAGGUCAUAGUAAGAUGCAGUUCACAGUGAGAUGGAGGCCACAGUGAGAUGCAGUUCACAGUAAGAUGCAGGUCAUAGUGAGAUGCAGGUCAUAGUGAGAUGCAGGUCAUAGUAAGAUGCAGUUCACAGUGAGAUGGAGGCCACAGGAAGAUGCAGGUCACAGUGAGAUGGCGGUCACAGUAUGAUGGAGGUGACAGUUAGA